This 432-nucleotide small RNA is filed under the name Pongo abelii (Sumatran orangutan). Its description in RNAcentral is "processed transcript". The record is from RNAcentral. Lineage: Eukaryota; Metazoa; Chordata; Mammalia; Primates; Hominidae.
GUCACUUUUUUUCCCUUGUAGAAAUAGUCUCUACCUUUUAAAAAAAUACAAAUCUAUGGAAACAUGAGUCACUGGCAUUCUGAGAAAGCAACUCUUCUUUUAAAUGCUCCAUCAUUUUCAGAUGAGCUUCCUGGUACAAUGGCCACCCUUUCUCUGGUGAACGAGGCACAGUAUCUGCUGAUCAACACAUCUAGUAUUUUGGAACUUCAUCAGCAACUAAACACCAGUGAUGAGAAUGGAAAGGAGGAAUUAUUCUCAGUGAAGGAUCUCAGCUUGCGUUUUCGUGCCAAUAUUAUUGUCAAUGGAAAAAGGGCUUUUGAAGAAGAGAAAUGGGAUGAGAUUUCAAUUGGCUCUUUGCGUUUCCAGGUUUUGGGGCCUUGUCACAGAUGCCAGAUGAUUUGCAUCGACCAGCAAACUGGGCAACGAAACCAG